RNAcentral lists this long non-coding RNA (655 nucleotides) under Androctonus crassicauda. Lineage: Eukaryota; Metazoa; Arthropoda; Arachnida; Scorpiones; Buthidae. The record is from RNAcentral.
AGAAAGACGAAGGUCGGUAGAGACCCCACAUUUGUCUUCUGAUUUUAUUCUGUAAAUAAAUCAUUUCAAGUUGUUUUUGCUAAUAAUUCUUUAUUUAAAUGUAUCAUUUUAUGUAAAUAAGCUUAUAAUUUUGAUUAGUUUUAUAUGGAGGUCUUGAUUUAAUGUGCUUAUUAGUUUAUUCGUUUCGGAAUUCUAAAGCGUGUGAGUGUAGGGAGAACCCAUCGCUCAUCUGGUACCGUUUCCCUACUGCGAAGGCAUAGCUAUGAGUGGUCUGCUGUUGCAUAUCGGCGGUGUCCUCUCUCUUGUUUCCUGGGAAGGUCCUAACUCUGGUCUUAUUGAAGAGAAUAUUAGUAGUAUAUAUGUGAUCAUCCUCAUUAUAUAUUUGUUUACAUGUUUUCGAUUUGACCUUGCAAGGUCAAUCGUAAAAGUGACUUUCGCAUUGACCUUGGUCGAAAAGUUUGUCGCGAUGAAAAUACCUGUACCUAAAUUGAUAAUUUCCUAAUUUCAUAAGAGGUAUACUGCACGUGUUUUCGAGUUGUUUCAACGAAAAAUAUGAUUUAAUUUUAUAAAUAAAUAUAUUUUAAUGCUUUUGAAAUGUUUAUUUUUUCAUUUAAGAGAUUGGAGGGAUUCCGAUUAAAAUUGUACAAUUUUGUGG